Molecule: ribosomal RNA, 468 nt
Filed under: uncultured bacterium
Lineage: Bacteria
Description: partial 16S ribosomal RNA
Rfam family: Bacterial small subunit ribosomal RNA
Source: RNAcentral
GACGAACGCUGGCGGCGUGCUUAACACAUGCAAGUCGAACGGAAAGGCCCUGCUUUUGUGGGGUGCUCGAGUGGCUAACGGGUGAUUAACACGUGAGUAACCUGCCCUUGACUUUGGGAUAACUUCAGGAAACUGGGGCUAAUACCGGAUAGGAGCUCCUGCUGCAUGGUGGGGGUUGGAAAGUUUCGGCGGUUGGGGAUGGACUCGCGGCUUAUCAGCUUGUUGGUGGGGUAGUGGCUUACCAAGGCUUUGACGGGUAGCCGGCCUGAGAGGGUGACCGGCCACAUUGGGACUGAGAUACGGCCCAGACUCCUACGGGAGGCAGCAGUGGGGAAUAUUGCACAAUGGGCGGAAGCCUGAUGCAGCAACGCCGCGUGCGGGAUGACGGCCUUCGGGUUGUAAACCGCUUUCGCCUGUGACGAAGCGUGAGUGGCGGUAAUGGGUAAAGAAGCACCGGCUAACUACGUG